This 536-nucleotide ribosomal RNA is filed under the name Trigonopterus sp. 713 AR-2022a. RNAcentral's name for it is "partial large subunit ribosomal RNA". It matches the Rfam family "Bacterial large subunit ribosomal RNA", at positions 1828 to 2625 of the family's 2925-position model. The record is from RNAcentral. Lineage: Eukaryota; Metazoa; Arthropoda; Insecta; Coleoptera; Curculionidae.
GGCUUGUUGAUUAUAAUUUCAGGUCUAACCUGCUCAAUGAGUUAUUAAAUAGCCGCGGUAUAUUGACUGUGCAAAGGUAGCAUAAUCAUUAGUUUUUUAAUUGAAAGCUUGUAUGAAAGGUUCGAUGAAAAGGAGGCUGUCUCUUUGAAAUUUUAUUAGAAUUUUAUUUUUAAGUAAAAAAGCUUAAAUGUUUAUAGAAGACGAGAAGACCCUAUAGAGUUUUAUAUUUAAGGGGCUAUUUAAUUUUUAGGAAUUAAAAGAUUAAUUUUUUUUUAAAUAUUUUAUUGGGGUGGUAGAAAAAUUAAAUCAACUUUUUUUGUAUAGAUACAUUUAUUUAUGGGUUUACGAUCCUAAAGUUUAGAUUGAAAGAAUAAAUUACCUUAGGGAUAACAGCGUAAUUUUUUUUAGAGUCCUUAUUGAAAAAAAAGAUUGCGACCUCGAUGUUGGAUUAAAAUAAAUUAUUGGUGUAGAAGCUAUUUAAUUAGGUCUGUUCGACCUUUAAAAUUUUACAUGAUCUGAGUUUAGACCGGCGUGAG